UGGUCUAUCUUAAUCCCUGCUGGUCAGUCAGUGAUCUGCCAGGCUUCACUUAUGAACCAGAGCAUCAUAGAAGCCCUGCCAAAGUUGAGCAAGGCCUUUGUAGGCUCAUGGCAGUGGCACUUCUGAACACAC
This is a small nucleolar RNA of Nannospalax galili (Upper Galilee mountains blind mole rat), 132 nucleotides long. The record is from Ensembl. Lineage: Eukaryota; Metazoa; Chordata; Mammalia; Rodentia; Spalacidae.